This 520-nucleotide ribosomal RNA is filed under the name uncultured Glomus. Its description in RNAcentral is "SSU rRNA". It matches the Rfam family "Eukaryotic small subunit ribosomal RNA", at positions 569 to 1092 of the family's 1831-position model. Lineage: Eukaryota; Fungi; Glomeromycota; Glomeromycetes; Glomerales; Glomeraceae. The record is from RNAcentral.
AGCAGCCGCGGUAAUUCCAGCUCCAAUAGCGUAUAUUAAAGUUGUUGCAGUUAAAAAGCUCGUAGUUGAAUUUCGGGGUCAGUAGGUUGGUCGUGCCACCGGUACGUACUGGUCUCACUGAUUCCUCCUUCCUGAAGAACCGUAAUGCCAUUAAUUUGGUGUUGCGGGGAAACAGGACUGUUACUUUGAAAAAAUUAGAGUGUUUAAAGCAGGCUAACGCUUGAAUACAUUAGCAUGGAAUAAUGAAAUAGGACGAUCGAUCCUAUUUUGUUGGUUUCUAGGAUUGACGUAAUGAUUAAUAGGGAUAGUUGGGGGCAUUAGUAUUCAAUUGUCAGAGGUGAAAUUCUUGGAUUUAUUGAAGGCUAACUACUGCGAAAGCAUUUGCCAAGGAUGUUUUCAUUAAUCAAGAACGAAAGUUAGGGGAUCGAAGACGAUCAGAUACCGUCGUAGUCUUAACCAUAAACUAUGCCGACUAGGGAUCGGAUGAUGUAAUUUAUAAUGACUCAUUCGGCGCCUUACG